CAUUUUCAUUGUAUUAGUAACGGCAACAAGUGACUUAUACAUAAUAUUUACUGUAUAAACACGGAAAAGAAGUUAAAGAAUUUAUUGUCCUUGUCGCAAAUUAUAAAUUAUUAAAAAAAGGAAAAAAAGAAGUUGAAAGAGAAGACACUUGAUUUUACCCGAUUUUCCCCCAUUCUCUCAGGAACUGUGUGAGUGUUUUAAUAAAAUGUCACACUAUUCGGCG
This 223-nucleotide long non-coding RNA is filed under the name Mytilus galloprovincialis (Mediterranean mussel). The record is from RNAcentral. Lineage: Eukaryota; Metazoa; Mollusca; Bivalvia; Mytilida; Mytilidae.